Molecule: ribosomal RNA, 292 nt
Filed under: uncultured bacterium
Lineage: Bacteria
Description: partial 16S ribosomal RNA
Source: RNAcentral
GGACUACACGGGUUUCUAAUCCUGUUUGCUCCCCACGCUUUCGCACCUCAGCGUCAGAAAUGGGCCAGUGAGCCGCCUUCGCCACUGGUGUUCUUCCUAAUAUCUACGAAUUUCACCUCUACACUAGGAAUUCCACUCACCUCUCCCAUUCUCCAGAUUGCCAGUAUCGAAGGCCAUUCCAGGGUUGAGCCCUGGGCUUUCACCCCCGACUUAACAAUCCGCCUACGUGCGCUUUACGCCCAGUAAUUCCGAACAACGCUAGCCCCCUUCGUAUUACCGCGGCUGCUGGCAC